Solanum lycopersicum (tomato) is the source of this 104-nucleotide non-coding RNA. NCBI's taxonomy places the organism in Eukaryota, Viridiplantae, Streptophyta, Magnoliopsida, Solanales, Solanaceae. The record is from Rfam.
UGUUGACCAGGUAAUGACAUGGCCAACAAAACAUGAUAGAGAAGAUUAGCAUGGUCUUUGGUGCAAGGAUGGCAUGCACAAAUCGAGAAAUGAUUCAUUUUUUU